Molecule: ribosomal RNA, 465 nt
Filed under: uncultured bacterium
Lineage: Bacteria
Description: partial 16S ribosomal RNA
Rfam family: Bacterial small subunit ribosomal RNA
Source: RNAcentral
GACGAACGCUGGCGGCGUGCUUAACACAUGCAAGUCGAACGGAAAGGCCCUGCUUGCAGGGUACUCGAGUGGCGAACGGGUGAGUAACACGCGGGUGAUCUGCCCUGCACUCCGGGAUAAGCCUGUGAAACUGGGUCUAAUACCGGAUAGAAGCCAUUUUUAGUGUGAUGGUUGGAAAGUUUUUUCGGUGUAGGAUGAGCUCGCGGCCUAUCAGCUUGUUGGUGGGGUAAUGUCCUACCAAGGCGGCGGCGGGUAGCAGGCCGGGGGGGGUGGACGGCAACAUUGGGACUGGGAGACGGCCCAGACGCCGACGGGAGGCAGAAGGGGGGAAGAUUGCCCAAGGGGCGCAGGCCUGAUGCAGCGACGCCGCGGGGGGGAGGACGGCCUUCGGGUUGUAAACUCCUUUCGCUAGGGACGAAGCUUUUUGUGACGGUACCUAGAUAAGAAGCACCGGCUAACUACGUG